AUGGACAACCAGAUUGCCAUCAAAGCUGUGGAUGCAGAGAAGUUCACGGUCAAAGGACUAACUAAAAAGGGUUUCUUCCUGGUCUGCAGCCAGCAACUUUCUGCUGUCUCUCCACAGAGCUGCGCGGGCACGGGCGCGGGUGAGCAGGGGCUCCGGGUGCACGGCCACCGAGGCUCGCCAGGCCCGGAGAACUCUAGCUCCCCCACGGAGUCGGCAGACUUCUACGAGGCGGAGCCGCGGCCACUGAUGAGCAGCCACCUGCAGAGCCCCCCCACCCCCAUACGAGCCCAGCAGGCCGCUUGGGCUCCCCCCCGCCCGCGUCUCCCCCGGCAUCUGUGAGCACGACACGUCCAUCGACAUCAGCACCUACAUCUGCCCGGCCGCCUUCAACGACGAGUUCCUGGCCGACCUGUUCCAGCACAGCCGGCAGCAGAAGGCCAAGGCGGCCGCGGACCCCGCGGGCGGCGGCAGCGGCGGAGAUUUUGACUACCCGGGCGCGCCCGCGGGCCCAGGCGGCGCCGUCAUGCCCGGGGGAGCGCACCAGCCCCCGCCCGUUACAGGUGCGCGGCCGCAGGCUACCUGGACUGCAGGCUGGAGCCCCUGUACGAGCGCGUCGGGGCGCCGGCGCUGCGGCCGCUUGUGAUCAAGCUGGAGCCCCGCGAGGAGGACAGGAAGCCAAGCAGCUGGCACUGGCCAGCCUCUUCCGGUACCAGCCGCUGACGCCGCCCUAGCACCCGCACCCGCCACCCAUGCAUCUGGCCACCCCGCACCUGCAAUUCCAGAUCUCGCACUGCGGCCAGACCACCAUGCACCUGCAGCCCUGUCACCCCACGCCGCCGCCCACGCUCAUGCCCAGUCUGCACCCAGCGUCCGCGCUUGGCGCCGCUGGCCUGCCGGGCCCCGGUGGCGCGCUUAAGGGCCUGGGCGCCGCGCACCCCGACCUCCGAGCGGGUGGUGGCGGCGGCACAGGCAAAGCCAGGAAGUCGGUGGACAAGAACAGUAACGAGUACUGUGUGCGGCCCAAGCACAACAACAUCGCUGUGCCCAAGAGCCACGACAAGGCCAAGCAGCGCAACGUGGAGAGGCAGCAGAAAGUGGUGGAGCUGACCAGUGACAAUGACUGCCUGCGCAAGCUGGUGGAACAGCUGAGCCGCGAACUGGACACGCUGCGGGGCAUCUUCCGCCAGCUGCCAGAGCGCUCCUUAGUCAAGGCCAUGGGCAACUGCGCGUGAGGCGCGCGGCUGCGGGACCGCCCUGGGCCAGCCUCUGGCAGGAACCCGGGGAGUGAUUUUGGGUCGCCGGAUCGCGAGGCUUGCUCCCGACGUGCGAGCCAGUACUAGGAGAUUCCGGUGCCGCCUGAAAGCCUGGCCUGCUCCGCGUGUCCCCUCCCUUCCUCUGCGCCGGGCUUGGUGCGUCUAAGAUGAGGGAGCCAGGCAGUGGCUUCUCCCUGCGAAGAGGUGAGAAUUCUUGGGGCUGAGCUGGGAGCCCCGUAACUCUAGUAUUAAGGAUAACCUUGUGCCUUGGAAAUGCAAACUCACCGCUCUGAUGCCUACCGAGUAGGGGGAGCAAAUCGUGCCUUGUCAUUUUAUUUGGAGGUAUCCUGCCUCCUUCCCAAGGCUACAGCAGGCCCCCAUGAGAGAAGGAGGGGAGCAGCCGGUGGCCGGAGGAGGAGGGCUCAGGUAGCUGAUAUACCGACAAGCCAGCCAGCCCCAGCCGCUCCUCCAUGCCUGUCUUAUAGAGGGGUGGAAACAUAGGGACUUGGGGCUUUGAACCUCAGGUUGUUCCGCUGGUUCUACAUGAAGGUGGAGGGUCUCUAGGUCUGCACCUCUCCCAUCCCUCCGCACACACCCCACCCCAGCCUGCCACACGUUGGGCUUCCCCCUGGGGCGGAACUCACUGAGAUGAGCCCCCGGGGUCACCAGGCGACCAGUGGGAGCCACCACCCUCAGACCACAAAGCUAGAUUGUGGGUCAGCUCUGAGGAUGUAUACCCCUGGCGUGAGAGGGGGGACCUGGCGAUCUGGCCGUGUGGUGGGCGUGGGGGGUGAAGGGCCACUGGGACCCUCAGCCUUAUUUGUAUUGUAUGCCUUCAGCAUUGCCAUAGGAACACAAAGCACGAUCAGUCCAUCCCAGAGGGACCGGAGUUAUGACAAGCUUUCCAAAUAUUUUGCUUUAUCAGCCGAUGUCAACACUUGUAUCUGGCCUCUGUGCCCCAGCAGUGCCUUGUGCAAUGUGAAUGUGUGCGUCUCUGCUAAACCACCAUUUUAUUUGGUUUUUGUUUUGGUUUGGUUUGGUUUUG
Molecule: non-coding RNA, 2298 nt
Organism: Callithrix jacchus (white-tufted-ear marmoset)
Lineage: Eukaryota; Metazoa; Chordata; Mammalia; Primates; Cebidae
Source: RefSeq, a predicted model, not a curated record